RNAcentral lists this long non-coding RNA (200 nucleotides) under Ananas comosus (pineapple). RNAcentral's name for it is "long non-coding RNA (ACOM_LNC022002)". Lineage: Eukaryota; Viridiplantae; Streptophyta; Magnoliopsida; Poales; Bromeliaceae. The record is from RNAcentral.
AAUUUUACAGAAAAAAAAUUGGUAGAUGAAAUUAGUUAUAAUUAAUAAAAAAAUUGUAUAAAUUGAUUAAAUUAUUCUAAAAACAAAUUGAAAAUUAUAAAUUGAAAUAGAAUUUUAAAAGGUUGGGUUACAGAUUUAAAAUGGUCUAUAGUUCAGAUAAAUUUUGUAUGUUUUUACCAAAAUUUUAUAAUGAAAUUUAU